GAUGAACGCUGGCGGCGUGCCUAAUACAUGCAAGUCGAGCGAACAGAUGAGAAGCUUGCUUCUCUGAUGUUAGCGGCGGACGGGUGAGUAACACGUGGGUAACCUACCUAUAAGACUGGGAUAACUCCGGGAAACCGGGGCUAAUACCGGAUAAUAUUUUGAACCGAAGGGUUCAAUAGUGAAAGACGGUUUCGGCUGUCACUUAUAGAUGGACCCGCGCCGUAUUAGCUAGUUGGUAAGGUAACGGCUUACCAAGGCGACGAUACGUAGCCGACCUGAGAGGGUGAUCGGCCACACUGGAACUGAGACACGGUCCAGACUCCUACGGGAGGCAGCAGUAGGGAAUCUUCCGCAAUUGGCGAAAGCCUGACGGAGCAACGCCGCGUGAGUGAUGAAGGUCUUCGGAUCGUAAAACUCUGUUGUUAGGGAAGAACAAAUUUGUUAGUAACUGAACAAGUCUUGACGGUACCUAACCAGAAAGCCACGGCUAACUACGUGCCAGCCGCCGCCGUAA
Molecule: ribosomal RNA, 514 nt
Filed under: uncultured bacterium
Lineage: Bacteria
Description: partial 16S ribosomal RNA
Rfam family: Bacterial small subunit ribosomal RNA
Source: RNAcentral